RNAcentral lists this long non-coding RNA (1727 nucleotides) under Homo sapiens (human). Its description in RNAcentral is "HSALNT0153789". The record is from RNAcentral. Lineage: Eukaryota; Metazoa; Chordata; Mammalia; Primates; Hominidae.
GCUGAUCUCCCAAGGAGCAGCAAGACUCCCACAAACACUGUCCAACACUGGAGGCCAGGCUGCAGGUAUGCAUCUUGGCCAAGCAGUGUGGCUUAGGAAUGUAGGUGGAGAAGCAGUCCAGACCUGCCAACUAGGCUGCUGCAGGGAGCCAUAAAUACCAGACUGGGGAAAGGAAGUGGGCCUGACUCAGCCAAGCCACAUGCCUCUCUUGAACAGCCUGCUUUCUGGAUUCAGCUCUAUCCGGAGAAAUCAGUCGGGGGACACUCCUCAGCUGGCAGCAGGCUGAAGCACACACCACAGAGGGACCUGGGGACGCCCGUUGGUCAGGGCUUUCCUGGCCAGCUGUGGUGAGUUUGUGCCGGUGCUUCCAUUCAAUCAUUCAAUCCUGAAUUCUUCCAGAGGCUUCCUGGGGCCAGAUCCCUCCACAGUUUCAGGAGAAUGCCACAUGAAGACAGAGACACACAGACCUACAAAGGAAGAGCACCACGACAUGACGGAGGCAGAGAUGGGAGCGAUGCUGCUGUACAAGGAACACCAAGGAUUACCGGCCAUCACCAGAGGCUCGAAAGGGGCAAGGAAGGAUUCUACUUCUCAGAGGGAACAUGUUCAGCAGACACCUCAAUUUUAGACUUCUGUCCUCCAGAAUAUGUGAAAGUACAUUUCUGUUGUUGUAAGCCAUCCAGUUUGUGGCACUUUGUCCUGGCAGUCCCAGGAAACUAGGAUCAGAGAGCUUGUGUCUUGAGAUAGCCCAUUCUUCAUGUCUCCUGCAGACCAGGGUCAAGCCCUGCUGCACCGAGUCUCAUACUGAGACUGAGCGUGGAGAUGUGGGAAUCCCCGUGUGAGCCAAGGCCUGGUGGCUGGAAGGAUGGGAUCACGUUUAGGGAAAAUAUGAGUCUGGUUUCAGAGCAGCCAGCCAUGGUGAAUGAGGCUAGAUAGGUAGUCCAGGGCCAGAUUGUGACUCAUUCCCAAACAAAAUAGAAGAGCCUCAGCUUUGGACUUCCUCUUUCUCAGACGGACAAAGCAUGCAAAAGUCACAUAAAUUACCAUGAAGAUGAAAUGUCAGAGCCAACCUCCCUUCCCUCCACACCUUACAUGGACACAUAGUUUUUGUUUUGAAAAUCUCUGCUUCCCUGUUUUUGUUUUUUGUUUUUUUUUUCUGAAAAGUGGAUACCCUCCCUGAUUUCCACCUAUGGUUGGAACAAAUUGAAAGGUAGACAAAGGAGUUAGUAAGAUGGAUAUCAAAAUACAACUUUCAAUAUCAUAAAACCUUGUUGAAAUGCAUGGUGUUUAGAGUCAAAUGCAUCUGACCUCAGAGCAGUUAAAUGGUGAGAAAGUUCAAGUUUGCAGAGCAGACCUACUAAGCUAUUGUCACUGCCUCAUCCUGUGUGGGGUUGGAGGUGAGAAGUCAAGCCAAACCCCCAGGGUCAGGGUUUCUGAUGAAGAUACCCAGAGGGAACCAUCGAACGACAGCUGUUCCUCUAGCCAGAGAGCUUACUAUACCUCCGAAGGGAGGACUCAGAGAAGGGCAGGCCGCCAAAAUGCUCAAGGAAAUUUAGAGGUGUGGAGAAUAAGCUUUCCACCCCUUGAAACCUUAACGCUAUGCCUGCCUGUGUGUGUACGUGACAUCAUUCUGGGCGAGGGAGGGCCUGAGUGCAACAUGGGGAAAGAAGAGAAAAAUAGCCUUCAAAAGCCACAAUGGGGUGGUGGAGGCCUUUGGUGGAACAUGC